GCGUCGGUGGUGCACGGUGCACCCCUCUUUAUUUCAUUUGAGUGUCAGUAUUGAAGGGGGAGACCGGGGUUCGACUCCCCGCCGACGCA
This is a non-coding RNA of Mycena sp. CBHHK59/15, 89 nucleotides long. The record is from the annotation of a GenBank genome assembly. NCBI's taxonomy places the organism in Eukaryota, Fungi, Basidiomycota, Agaricomycetes, Agaricales, Mycenaceae.